This 301-nucleotide ribosomal RNA is filed under the name uncultured bacterium. RNAcentral's name for it is "partial 16S ribosomal RNA". It matches the Rfam family "Bacterial small subunit ribosomal RNA", at positions 509 to 809 of the family's 1533-position model. The record is from RNAcentral.
CAGUCGCCGCGGGAAUACGGAGGGUGCAAGCGUUAAUCGGAAUUACUGGGCGUAAAGCGCACGCAGGCGGUUUGUUAAGUCAGAUGUGAAAUCCCCGAGCUUAACUUGGGAACUGCAUUUGAAACUGGCAAGCUAGAGUCUUGUAGAGGGGGGUAGAAUUCCAGGUGUAGCGGUGAAAUGCGUAGAGAUCUGGAGGAAUACCGGUGGCGAAGGCGGCCCCCUGGACAAAGACUGACGCUCAGGUGCGAAAGCGUGGGGAGCGAACAGGAUUAGAUACCCGAGUAGUCCCUGUCUCUUAUAA